AGUUUGAUCCUGGCUCAGAUUGAACGCUGGCGGAAUGCUUUACACAUGCAAGUCGAACGAUGAACCUUAGCUUGCUAGGGGGAUUAGUGGCGAACGGGUGAGUAAUAUAUCGGAACGUACCUUGUAAUGGGGGAUAACUAGUCGAAAGAUUAGCUAAUACCGCAUACGCCCUGAGGGGGAAAGUAGGGGAUCUUCGGACCUUACGUUAUAAGAGCGGCCGAUAUCAGAUUAGGUAGUUGGUAAGGUAACGGCUUACCAAGGCAACGAUGGGUAGGGGUCCUGAGAGGGAGAUCCCCCCACACUGGUACUGAGACACGGACCAGACUCCUACGGGAGGCAGCAGUGAGGAAUAUUGGACAAUGGGCGCAAGCCUGAUCCAGCCAUGCCGCGUGCAGGAAGAAGGUCCUAUGGAUUGUAAACUGCUUUUAUACAAGAAGAAACACUCCCUCGUGAGGGAACUUGACGGUACUGUAUGAAUAAGGACCGGCUAACUCCGUG
Molecule: ribosomal RNA, 498 nt
Filed under: uncultured bacterium
Lineage: Bacteria
Description: bacterial SSU rRNA
Rfam family: Bacterial small subunit ribosomal RNA
Source: RNAcentral